This 72-nucleotide transfer RNA is filed under the name Pangasianodon hypophthalmus (striped catfish). It matches the Rfam family "tRNA". From Rfam's summary of the family: Transfer RNA (tRNA) molecules are approximately 80 nucleotides in length. Their secondary structure includes four short double-helical elements and three loops (D, anti-codon, and T loops). Further hydrogen bonds mediate the characteristic L-shaped molecular structure. tRNAs have two regions of fundamental functional importance: the anti-codon, which is responsible for specific mRNA codon recognition, and the 3' end, to which the tRNAs corresponding amino acid is attached (by aminoacyl-tRNA synthetases). tRNAs cope with the degeneracy of the genetic code in two manners: having more than one tRNA (with a specific anti-codon) for a particular amino acid; and 'wobble' base-pairing, i.e. permitting non-standard base-pairing at the 3rd anti-codon position. Lineage: Eukaryota; Metazoa; Chordata; Actinopteri; Siluriformes; Pangasiidae. The record is from Rfam by way of RNAcentral.
UCCCUGGAGGACUAGUGGUUAGGCCACAUCGCUUUCACCGCUGCGGCCCAGAUUCAAUUCCUCGCCAGGGAA